CGUCAGUCACGGGAGGUGCUGGAUGUCGGGAAAGGCCCGGGCAGGCGGCGUCGGGCACCGGGACGGCCUCUCCAGGGAGGAGCUCGCAGCACAAGCCUGGCGGCGCUCAAGAAGUGUUUGGUGAACGCGGUGUGUCCCCUGGGGGGUCCUGAGCAGGAGCUGGACGCGAUGAUCCCCCUGGGUCCCUCCCAGUUUGGCACGUCCCGUGAUCCUGUGGGGACGCAGCCUGCUCCCGGAGGAGCUUGGCGUGGGCCCCACGGCCCCCCCGUGACUGCGGCCCUGCGCGGCCCCCAGGAGCAGGGGCUGGGCGAGGUGUGCAGGCCACCCCCAGAGGUUCUGUGGUCCCUCCACUUGGCACCUCCAGUCCAACCCCAUUUCAACGAGACUGACAUAGAAAGGCACUUCAGGGCACUUCUCACUUAGACUGACUUCCCACAUACACCCGCACCCCAACACACACCCUUUCGACCUCCAGAAGACUUUGGUCAGGAGCGCUGGAUGUGGAGCUCUGCACCUGCUGAACCGGCAUGAGAUAAAUUUGAAGCGAAUCGGCAGUAGUUAGUUAAAGGCACUGCUGACAAUCCAGCCCAGACUGCAGCACCAUGACCAGGCCAACAUCGACACAGCCAACUGGAUAGAAGAACGUGAGGAGUAUCUGCAUCAUGAGAUGCUUGGCUGCUGCAGGUGAUAGAGGGGAAGAGAGGCACCAUGAAAAGCCCCAUUCCUUUCUGCAGUACCGCAGCAGUGGGUGUUUUGAGGUGCUGUAGCAGCCCUGGUCCUAGUCUCUGUGGGCUGCUGGCUGGACAGGCGAAGGAAGCCUGCCUCUGUCAGCUGCAGGGAGCAGGAGAGCUCCAGCAGCACGGAGGAGGACGAUGGUCAGAAAAAGUUCAAAGGUACCCACAGCGGUCUCAUAUCUUUGUGGUCACCCCAUUACCAAUGGAAGCAUUCGAGCUAAGGCUGGAUGGGGCUGUGAGUAACAUGAUCUACUUGAGAGUUCCUCUCCUCAUUGUUGCAAUGAUAUUUAAGGAUCCCUUCUGUGAUUCUAAAGCAGCACUUGAAGCAUGGAGCAGCGUGGUAGAACCAACACCAGUGAUUUUAUCAUCUCCUAAGGCAAUGCUAUGGAGUUUGCCAAAAUUAUAUUCUUAGCCCGUUCCCCAAAGACAAUAAACAUCAACAUAAGGAAGUCAUCCUGCAAGAAGGGCAUCAUGUAACAGAACCCUGGUGACAAGUACUUUUUAUUUAUUUUCUUUUGCUCUGAAAGGCAAUAAAUCAACCUUGUGACUUGCAA
Long non-coding RNA from Catharus ustulatus (Swainson's thrush), 1288 nucleotides. RefSeq lists it as uncharacterized. The transcript has 2 exons. The record is from RefSeq and is a predicted model, not a curated record. NCBI's taxonomy places the organism in Eukaryota, Metazoa, Chordata, Aves, Passeriformes, Turdidae.